This 433-nucleotide ribosomal RNA is filed under the name uncultured bacterium. RNAcentral describes it as "partial 16S ribosomal RNA". It matches the Rfam family "Bacterial small subunit ribosomal RNA", at positions 29 to 507 of the family's 1533-position model. The record is from RNAcentral.
AACGAACGCUGGCGGCAGGCCUAACACAUGCCAGUCGAGCGGACCCUUCGGGGUUAGCGGCGGACGGGUGAGUAACGCGUGGGAAUAUGCCCUUCUCUACGGAAUAGUCCUGGGAAACUGGGGGUAAUACCGUAUACGCCCUUUGGGGGAAAGAUUUAUCGGGGAAGGAUUAGCCCGCGUUGGAUUAGGUAGUUGGUGGGGUAAUGGCCUACCAAGCCGACGAUCCAUAGCUGGUUUGAGAGGAUGAUCAGCCACACUGGGACUGAGACACGGCCCAGACUCCGACGGGAGGCAGCAGUGGGGAAUCUUAGACAAUGGGGGCAACCCUGAUCUAGCCAUGCCGCGUGAGUGAUGAAGGCCUUAGGGUUGUAAAGCUCUUUCAGCUGGGAAGAUAAUGACGGUACCAGCAGAAGAAGCCCCGGCUAACUCCGUG